RNAcentral lists this ribosomal RNA (301 nucleotides) under uncultured bacterium. RNAcentral describes it as "partial 16S ribosomal RNA". It matches the Rfam family "Bacterial small subunit ribosomal RNA", at positions 509 to 809 of the family's 1533-position model. The record is from RNAcentral.
CAGCAGCCGCGGGAAUACGAAGGGUGCAAGCGUUAAUCGGAAUUACUGGGCGUAAAGCGUGCGUAGGCGGUUUGUUAAGUCUGUUGUGAAACCCCCGGGCUCAACCUGGGAAUGGCAAUGGAUACUGGCAAGCUAGAGUGUGUCAGAGGAUGGUGGAAUUCCCGGUGUAGCGGUGAAAUGCGUAGAGAUCGGGAGGAACAUCAGUGGCGAAGGCGGCCAUCUGGGACAACACUGACGCUGAGGCACGAAAGCGUGGGGAGCAAACAGGAUUAGAGACCCCGGUAGUCCCUGUCUCUUAUCC